UACAGAGGUCUCAAGCGUUGUUCGGAUUCAUUGGGCGUAAAGGGUGCGUAGGUGGCGGGGUAAGUCAGGUGUGAAAUCUCGGGGCUCAACCCCGAAACUGCACUUGAUACUGCCUUGCUUGAGUACUGGAGAGGAGAUUGGAAUUUACGGUGUAGCAGUGAAAUGCGUAGAUAUCGUAAGGAAGACCAGUGGCGAAGGCGAAUCUCUGGACAGUCACUGACACUGAGGCACGAAGGCCAGGGGAGCAAACGGG
RNAcentral lists this ribosomal RNA (253 nucleotides) under uncultured bacterium. RNAcentral's name for it is "partial 16S ribosomal RNA". It matches the Rfam family "Bacterial small subunit ribosomal RNA", at positions 524 to 776 of the family's 1533-position model. The record is from RNAcentral.